ACAAACUUGGUCAUUUAGAGGAAGUAAAAGUCGUAACAAGGUUUCCGUAGGUGAACCUGCGGAAGGAUCAUCAAUGAACUUUGCAACCCACUGAACUUUUGUGGGCCAGGGGGGGGGGUGCGGUGCUGCUGCUCCGCCCGCUUUGCCUGCCCACAAUAGUUUGUGAUAAUACUUGUUUGAACUUGGGAAUAGCCGCCUUAGCGUGGUGUUGGGGGUUGGUUAGUUAGUGGGUUAGUGUGGGGUUAGGCCAUCCUUGGCACUCGUUUUGGUGCUAUUUUACCACUAAAAAACAGUGUUGAAAAAAGCGUUGAAAAUAAAAAAGUGCGGGAAAAAUUACAACUUUUAACAAUGGAUCUCUUGGCUCUUGCAUCGAUGAAGAACGCAGC
Molecule: unclassified non-coding RNA, 386 nt
Filed under: uncultured fungus
Lineage: Eukaryota; Fungi
Description: partial contains small subunit ribosomal RNA, internal transcribed spacer 1, and 5.8S ribosomal RNA
Rfam family: Eukaryotic small subunit ribosomal RNA (bases 1-73)
Source: RNAcentral